This 497-nucleotide ribosomal RNA is filed under the name uncultured bacterium. RNAcentral's name for it is "partial 16S ribosomal RNA". It matches the Rfam family "Bacterial small subunit ribosomal RNA", at positions 28 to 507 of the family's 1533-position model. The record is from RNAcentral.
GAUGAACGCUGGCGGCGUGCCUAAUACAUGCAAGUCGAGCGAACAGACGAGGAGCUUGCUCCUCGGACGUUAGCGGCGGACGGGUGAGUAACACGUGUAUAACCUACCUAUAAGACUGGGAUAACUUCGGGAAACCGGAGCUAAUACCGGAUAAUAUAUUGAACCGUAUGGUUCAAUAGUGAAAGACGGUUUUGCUGUCACUUAUAGAUGGAUCCGCGCCGCAUUAGCUAGUUGGUAAGGUAACGGCUUACCAAGGCAACGAUGCGUAGCCGACCUGAGAGGGUGAUCGGCCACACUGGAACUGAAACACGGUCCAGACUCCUACGGGAGGCAGCAGUAGGGAAUCUUCCGCAAUGGGCGAAAGCCUGACGGAGCAACGCCGCGUGGGUGAUGAAGGUCUUCGGAUCGUAAAACUCUGUUAUUAGGGAAGAACAAAUGUGUAAGUAACUAUGCACGUCUUGACGGUACCUAAUCAGAAAGCCACGGCUAACUACGUG